Molecule: ribosomal RNA, 329 nt
Filed under: uncultured eukaryote
Lineage: Eukaryota
Description: partial 18S ribosomal RNA
Rfam family: Eukaryotic small subunit ribosomal RNA
Source: RNAcentral
CCCUUAGAUGUCCUGGGCUGCACGCGCGCUACACUGAUGUGUCCAGUAAGCACCUAACCUCUUCCGAAAGGAACGGGUAACCUUUGCAAAGCACAUCGUGAUGGGGAUAGAUUAUUGCAAUUAUUAGUCUUGAACGAGGAAUUCCUAGUAAGCACAAGUCAUCAGCUUGUGUUGAUUACGUCCCUGCCCUUUGUACACACCGCCCGUCGCUCCUACCGAUUGAAUGACUCGGUGAAAAAUUGGGACCGUGAGUCUGUUUGCUUCAUUGCGAGUGGAUCGAUGGGAACUUUUUUAAACCUCGCCAUUUAGAGGAAGGUGAAGUCGUAACA